AUUGAACGCUGGCGGCAGGCCUAACACAUGCAAGUCGGACGGUAGCACAGAGAGCUUGCUCUUGGGUGACGAGUGGCGGACGGGUGAGUAAUGUCUGGGGAUCUGCCCGAUAGAGGGGGAUAACCACUGGAAACGGUGGCUAAUACCGCAUAACGUCGCAAGACCAAAGAGGGGGACCUUCGGGCCUCUCACUAUCGGAUGAACCCAGAUGGGAUUAACUAGUAGGCGGGGUAAUGGCCCACCUAGGCGACGAUCCCUAGCUGGUCUGAGAGGAUGACCAGCCACACUGGAACGGGGACACGGUCCAGACUCCUACGGGAGGCAGCAGUGGGGAAUAUUGCACAAUGGGCGCAAGCCUGAUGCAGCCAUGCCGCGUGUAUGAAGAAGGCCUUCGGGUUGUAAAGUACUUUCAGCGGGGAGGAAGGCGACGCGGUUAAUAACCGCGUCGAUUGACGUUACCCGCAGAAGAAGCACCGGCUAACUCCGUGCCAGCAGCCGCCGUAA
Molecule: ribosomal RNA, 504 nt
Filed under: uncultured bacterium
Lineage: Bacteria
Description: partial 16S ribosomal RNA
Rfam family: Bacterial small subunit ribosomal RNA
Source: RNAcentral